AUUGAACGCUGGCGGCAUGCCUUACACAUGCAAGUCGAACGGCAGCACGGGAGCAAUCCUGGUGGCGAGUGGCGAACGGGCGAGUAAAGUAUCGGAACGUGCCCAGUCGUGGGGGAUAACGUAGCGAAAGUUACGCUAAUACCGCAUACGAUCUAUGGAUGAAAGCGGGGGAUCGCAAGAACUCGGGCGAUGUGAGAGGCCGUUAUCAGAUUAGGUAGUUGGUGGGGUAAAGGCUAACCAAGCCGACGAUCUGUAGCUGGUCUGAGAGGACGACCAGCCACACUGGGAAUGAGACACGGCCCAGACUCCUACGGGAGGCAGCAGUGGGGAAUUUUGGACAAUGGGCGAAAGCCUGAUCCAGCCAUGCCGCGUGAAGGAUGAAGGCCUUCGGGUUGUAAACUGCUUUUGUACGGAACGAAAAGGUUUGGCCUAAUAAGCUGAGCUCAUGACGGUACCGUAAGAAUAAGCACCGGCUAACUACGUGCCAGCCGCCGCAGUAA
Molecule: ribosomal RNA, 500 nt
Filed under: uncultured bacterium
Lineage: Bacteria
Description: partial 16S ribosomal RNA
Rfam family: Bacterial small subunit ribosomal RNA
Source: RNAcentral